GUAGGUGAACCUGCGGAAGGAUCAUUACCGAGUUCAUGCCCUUCGGGGUAGAUCUCCCACCCUUUGUAUACUAUACCUUCGUUGCUUUGGCGGGCCGCCUAGCUACUGGCUUCGGCUGGUAAGUGCCCGCCAGAGGAUACAAAACCCUGAAUUAUUAGUGUCGUCUGAGUAAAAUAUUUAAUAUUUAAAACUUUCAACAACGGAUCUCUUGGCUCUG
This 217-nucleotide unclassified non-coding RNA is filed under the name rhizosphere metagenome. RNAcentral describes it as "partial ribosomal RNA internal transcribed spacer region". The record is from RNAcentral.